GUCUAAUUGACCAGAAUGUGGAGAUAGAACAGGAUUAUGACCUUAAAUAUAAUGUUUUUUGGAUUAUCAGUGUUGACCCUAAGCCCUGUUCUUGUAGACCCAUGACUUGAUUGCUAAAAAUAUGCUUAUUCAUGGCAUUUAAUUGAAAAUGUUUGGAGGUCUUUUGGGGAGAUUUGAGUAGAGAUAUUUGGGAGAGAGGGGAAUCUGGUUCAGAAUAUUUGUAACAAAUACAAAAUAUUUACCAGUAUUAGUUGCUUUUGUAGGCUCUUAGUUUCCCAAUUAAUCUGAGAAGUGAUUAGUGUGUACCAUUGGAUUUAUCUCAUUGUUCUCAUGCUUCUGGCAGUGCUCAGACCAUCAUCAGAGCUCAUCAUGCCAAACCCCAAGGGGAACUGAUUGCGAGGAGGGCAACUAUUGCCAGUGAUCCAGCUCUUACUGUCCCUGCAGACCUGGGCAAACAUCGUUGUUCCAUGAAGAGUCCAGUUACUCUGUGUCUGAGGAACUACCCUUGCAUGUGGAGGGUUCUUAUACUAGAAGAUCUACUCCGUGGCAGCUAUAAUAAUAGCCUGAAGCCUGCAGUCCAGGAAUGAAUCUCUUGAUAGAAAUUCAGCCUAGAUAAUCUUUCUUCCCCAUGCAAAUAUCAACAUAGCUGAAGCUCUCCAGAGCAUGACUGCAGCAUGCCUGCAAGGACACAGCAUCCCUGCGCCUUGUGUUCACCGCUGCCCCUCCAUGGCAGAACACUGUGCCAGCUAACCAGUCUGAGGUAUCUUAGCACACCUCAGUCAUGCCUCCAAAAACCUCACCAUACAGCUGAGUCUGUACCAAAUGCUCUACCUUUUGCAUGUGAACGGUCCCUUUGAAGUCAGCAGGACCACUCAGAGAGGCUCAAGCUCAGUGUACAGUCAGUGUUAUCUUCGCCUUUUGAAAAUGGCUACGCUCAUCCAAGAGAUUUUCAGAAUAGACCUAGAAGAAGGGACAGAGAAAGUUCAACAAGCGGCAUAUGUAUUCAGAAGUUUUAAGAAUGCUUUUUAUACUUAAAAGAAGAUAAUUAUUCAGAGUCCAAGAAAAGGGGAAGCUGUUAAACUGUGGGACUGACCCUCUGCACUGGUAUUUUCUCGGUUUGAUGUAAUCUAUGAAAGGUUGCUGUACAUUGCGGUAUUGUAAUCAUUUUGAUGUUUAAGCUGCAUACAGAAGUUCUUCUGCCCUCUGCUCUGAGCUCUGGACACAAGGCAACUUGAGUCUGAAAGCUCACAGCUGUUUUAGUGCUGCUUUUUUUCUGAGCUAAUAUACACUGUGGCAAUCUGUGGCUUUUGGACCAAAGCUGCCUUGCAUUUUACUGACCUGAAGCAGAGAGCAGAAGAACUUGUGUCUGGAAAUCAAAAACAUAUUUUCAGUGAAGGUGUUUUAGUGAAGGUUUAAAUUCUUGAUUCUGACUCUACCGCUGUGGUCUGACUUCUGUGUCUGCACUGAGCUUGUGACCUGGUGCUGAGUAAUCCCCUCUUUGGAGGGAUAGUUGCUACAUUGUCAGGUUUGCAUUCUAUGGCAUCCACUUUUUUUUUUUAUUGCAAUUUGAUGCAAGUUCUGUAAAUGUGUUGCAGACUACCUGAACUAGGAAAAUGAGGGUGUGAGAUUAAGUGCUGAUUUUGAGCUUUGAUAGCUUUAUGGAGGAAAAGUUAUUCAAGGACAAUAGACUUGAUUUCUUGAAAUUUCCUGCCUGACAUAGUAUCACAGGGAGAGUGUGGGAAAGAUUCUCAGGGAGGGCACUCUUUGAAGGGGGGAAGUAUGGAGGAAAUACUUCAAAUGAGCUUCUGAAAUCCUGAAUGAGUACCCUAAUUUUUAUAUGACAGAAGGUACAAGCAGUAGGCAGGGCUGCCAACACUACUGCUAUUUUACAGACACCAAAGCUAAAAUUUUGUACCUGACCCAAGCUGUUUGCUGAGUGGGCAGAUAGUUCUGGGUUGUCUCAAUCUGCAUUUUUCAGCAAACAUACCUAUCUACUGAAAGAGAAAGAGAAGAAAUUUU
Molecule: long non-coding RNA, 2019 nt
Organism: Apteryx owenii (little spotted kiwi)
Lineage: Eukaryota; Metazoa; Chordata; Aves; Apterygiformes; Apterygidae
Source: Ensembl